RNAcentral lists this ribosomal RNA (254 nucleotides) under uncultured bacterium. Its description in RNAcentral is "partial 16S ribosomal RNA". It matches the Rfam family "Bacterial small subunit ribosomal RNA", at positions 524 to 776 of the family's 1533-position model. The record is from RNAcentral.
UACGUAGGAUGCGAGCGUUAUCCGGAUUUAUUGGGUUUAAAGGGUGCGUAGGCUGUGAGGUAAGUCAGCGGUGAAAUGCCCCCGCUCAACGGGGUGAAGUGCCAUUGAUACUGCCUUGCUGGAAUGCGGAUGCCGUGGGAGGAAUGUGUGGUGUAGCGGUGAAAUGCAUAGAUAUCACACAGAACACCGAUUGCGAAGGCAUCUCACGAAUCCGCGAUUGACGCUGAUGCACGAAAGCGUGGGUAUCAAACAGG